GGUCCACUCCCGUAAACGAUGAGUGCUAAUUAUUAGAGGGUUUCUGCCCUUUAGUGCUGCAGCAAACGCAUUAAGCACUCCGCCUGGGGAGUACGGCCGCAAGGCUGAAACUCAAAGGAAUUGACGGGGGCCCGCACAAGCGGUGGAGCAUGUGGUUUAAUUUGAAGCAACGCGAAGAACCUUACCAGGUCUUGACAUCUCCUGACAAUCCUAGAGAUAGGACGUUCCCCUUCGGGGGACAGGAUGACAGGUGGUGCAUGGUUGUCGUCAGCUCGUGUCGUGAGAUGUUGGGUUAAGUCCCGCAACGAGCGCAACCCUUGAUCUUAGUUGCCAGCAUUUAGUUGGGCACUCUAAGGUGACUGCCGGUGACAAACCGGAGGAAGGUGGGGAUGACGUCAAAUCAUCAUGCCCCUUAUGACCUGGGCUACACACGUGCUACAAUGGAUGGUACAAAGGGCAGCAAAACCGCGAGGUCGAGCCAAUCCCAUAAAACCAUUCUCAGUUCGGAUUGUAGGCUGCAACUCGCCUACAUGAAGCUGGAAUCGCUAGUAAUCGCGGAUCAGCAUGCCGCGGUGAAUACGUUCCCGGGCCUUGUACACACCGCCCGUCACACCACGAGAGUUUGUAACACCCGAAGUCGGUGGGGUAACCCUCUGGAGCCAGCCGCUAACGA
RNAcentral lists this ribosomal RNA (673 nucleotides) under Niallia nealsonii. RNAcentral's name for it is "bacterial SSU rRNA". It matches the Rfam family "Bacterial small subunit ribosomal RNA", at positions 792 to 1462 of the family's 1533-position model. Lineage: Bacteria; Bacillati; Bacillota; Bacilli; Caryophanales; Bacillaceae. The record is from RNAcentral.